UUGGCUAUGACCACCCUGCGCUGACUGUCGGGCCGUACAAUGCCCAGGUCUGCACCAGCCUAUGCACUGAGCUCCCGUGCGAUGACAGGAAGUGCUGAUAGGAAGAGGGAGGGCGCGUGCACUCUCUCCCCUCCCCCGCCUUCUCUCUGCCGUGCAGUCUUAGAACCUCGGAAGGCAGAGGAGAGGCCGUGUACCCUGUCUUCCUCCGCCCCCUCCCCUCAGCUCUAAACUCCGGCCGGAUCUUUCAUGCAAUGGUCACCAGCAGCACAAUGGACAUCCUCAACAUUGAAAUUGCAAGUAAAGUUUAAUUCUCAUGAUACCUGGACGUCUACGUGGUCAAGGUUUUCUUCUGAUUUCUUCUAAAUUUUAUCCAGUUGAGAAUUUCAGUUCCAUGUUUGAGAUACUGUUCUCCUUGAUUCUUCUCAUCUUCGCAACAAGAAAGAAGAUUAACAGUUGGAACUUGGUGGUUUUAUGAAGCAUGAUCCACACGGAUUGGCUGUUACUGAGCUGUUACUAUGUUUGGUUGUGCUAAAGUUUUCUUCACCUUUUUUCAAUAUGUUAACCUUGCUGCUGUAAGCUAUAUUAAAGAAAGAAUAGCAUAAUAUUCACCUCCUGUCUUUAUAA
Molecule: long non-coding RNA, 624 nt
Organism: Hyla sarda
Lineage: Eukaryota; Metazoa; Chordata; Amphibia; Anura; Hylidae
Exons: 3
Source: RefSeq, a predicted model, not a curated record